UUAAUAGUCAUCAUUCAUAUAAAAAACCUAAAACUCGCAAUAAUGAAAUUUUGAGUUCUUAUAGUUCAAGUAAAUUUCUUCAGUCAUCAAGACAGAAAAGAACACAUCCUAUUGACCCAGAGGGUGAUGAUUCUCUUUGCCGAAAACAUUAUAAAAGUUGUACUUAUUGUGGUUCAACAGUAUUAUUAACCGAUGAUGAUAAUAAUAAGUCAAUUAAAAUUGGCAAAUCUACAGAAACUGAUUUAGCUGGAGAUCUCGUAACAGUUGCACCUAGUAGAAUAUUCAAUAGAAGUGGAAGAACACAAGUUUUUAAAAGAAUUAGUAUAAAAAGUGUAUUAGAUGAAGUAUUUGAUGAGCCAGAACCUACACCUUUCACAAGUAUUGAGAAAAUAGAACAAAAAAAGAAUAAUGCUGUUAAAGAGGCUUUGGUAACAUGGUGAGCGGAAAAAAUGUGGUAGAAAUGAAUGACAGAAGAGACAAUACUUGAUUUUCAGAUGCUCUAUUUUAACUCUCAGUGUUUAAUCUAUAUUUAUAUUUUUCUAAUUAUAUAUUUGUUUUAUUCUGUUUAAUCUUUUUUUUCUGAUUUUUUUUUCUAUAAUAACUAUUUUUUUGUUUUUAUCUAAAAUUAUUGUCAUAUACAUACGUGUUUUAUUUUAUUUUGCUUUUGAAUAAUUUUCCUUAUACUUGUAAAUGUAUACUUUUCGUUAUGUGAAUAAAAAGAAAUGAUUGUUAAUAAUUUGGUUUCAAUUAAUAAAAUAUUUCGUUUUUUAAAUCUAUAUCAUAUUUAAGCUUUUAAUGUGAACUAAAAUAAAAAAAAAAAAUUCUCUCAUCGAGUUUUUUACAAUGUGAAAUUGACCAUCAAAGUAAAAACCUCUCUAGAUACUAUUGGCUCGCAAGCGCCAUAGAGCUUAUAACUAAAAAACCCUAAGAUGGCGGUGACAAUGCAGACAUAGAGAGAAGAUUAUGCAACA
This is a long non-coding RNA of Daktulosphaira vitifoliae (grape phylloxera), 971 nucleotides long. RefSeq lists it as uncharacterized. The record is from RefSeq and is a predicted model, not a curated record. The transcript has 3 exons. Lineage: Eukaryota; Metazoa; Arthropoda; Insecta; Hemiptera; Phylloxeridae.